CUAUACAUGCAGUCGAGGGGCAGCACAGGUAGCAAUACUGGGUGGCGACCGGCAAACGGGUGCGGAACACGUACGCAACCUUCCUUCAAGCGGGGAAUAGCCCAGAGAAAUUUGGAUUAAUACCCCAUAAGAAUGUGACCUGGCAUCAGGUAGCAUUUAAAGAUUUAUCACUUGGAGAUGGGCGUGCGUCUGAUUAGGUAGUUGGUGAGGUAACGGCUCACCAAGCCGACGAUCAGUAACUGGCGUGAGAGCGCGACCAGUCACACGGGCACUGAGACACGGGCCCGACUCCUACGGGAGGCAGCAGUAAGGAAUAUUGGUCAAUGGACGCAAGUCUGAACCAGCCAUGCCGCGUGGAGGAUGAAGGCCCUCUGGGUUGUAAACUUCUUUUAUUUGGGACGAAACACUUCUUUUCUAAGAAGCUUGACGGUACCAGAUGAAUAAGCACCGGCUAACUCCGUGCCAGCAGCCGCGGUAAUACGGAGGGUGCAAGCGUUAUCCGGAUUCACUGGGUUUAAAGGGUGCGUAGGCGGACAUGUAAGUCCGUGGUGAAAUCUCUAAGCUUAACUUGGAAACUGCCAUGGAUACUAUAUGUCUUGAAUGUUGUGGAGGUUAGCGGAAUAUGUCAUGUAGCGGUGAAAUGCAUAGAUAUGACAUAGAACACCAAUUGCGAAGGCAGCUGGCUACACAAAUAUUGACGCUGAGGCACGAAAGCGUGGGGAUCAAACAGGAUUAGAUACCCUGGUAGUCCACGCCCUAAACGAUGAUUACUCGACAUACGCGAUACACAGUGUGUGUCUGAGCGAAAGCAUUAAGUAAUCCACCUGGGAAGUACGACCGCAAGGUUGAAACUCAAAGGAAUUGACGG
Molecule: ribosomal RNA, 868 nt
Filed under: Chitinophaga arvensicola
Lineage: Bacteria; Pseudomonadati; Bacteroidota; Chitinophagia; Chitinophagales; Chitinophagaceae
Description: bacterial SSU rRNA
Rfam family: Bacterial small subunit ribosomal RNA
Source: RNAcentral